AUGGCCGUAGACGCCGGCCGCUGCCGCUGGGCGCCUCAAGAGCCUGCUCCAGGCGUCCCAACUCAGCGGUGCCGCGCUCCAGCCGUGCACGCGCCUGACUGCCUGCCUGCCAGCCAGCCUGCCUGCUGCCUGCCUGCCUGCUGCCUGCCUGCCUGCUGCCUGCCUGCCUGCCUGCCUGCCUGCUGCCUGCCUGCCUGCCUGCCUGCCUGCUGCCUGCCUGCCUGCCAGCCUGCCUCCCUGCUUGCCUGCCUGCCUGCCUGCCUGCCUGCCUGCCUGCCUGCCUGCCUGCCUGCCUGCCUGCCUGCCUGCCUGCCUGGCUGCCGCCGCCCUCCGCCGCGGGCCCCGGGCGGGUGGCGGAAGCGGCCCAAGAGGACCCCGGCAAGGCGCUGUGGCGCAAGCCACGGCCUUCGCCGGUCCCGGGACUCUUGCAGGCUGCUCCUGGCUUGGCCCCACGCCCGCCUCCGCUUGCAUCCCGCACCGCAUCGCACCGCACCGCACCGCACCGCACCGCAACCGCACCGCACCGCCACCGCACCGCACCGCACCGCACCACGUCGGGCCGCUCACUGGGAAGAGGGUGGAAGCGAGCGUGGGGCAUCCGGCCGGCCGUGCCUUCUGGGCCCCCCACCCCUCGCCGGGCUCUCAGCGCCUCCUCCCCAGUCUCAGGGCGAGCCCGGCCAGCCCCCGCUCCCCGGCCUUUCCCUCCCGUCCGCCCACCUGAUGCAAGGCCACACCGGAGGCCCCAGCGCCCCCAGAGAACAUCACCAGCCCGGGCCCGCUGCCCUAGCUGGGCCUCGCGCAACGCCGGGGACCCUGGGGAUGAGGGCUCCAGGGAGGGAAGAGGUCCGGGACCCAGGGAGCCCAGGCCUGUGGCGGAAUCUGAGUCUGGGGUCUCGCUGCCCCGCCCGCUCCUGGGUUCUUG
RNAcentral lists this long non-coding RNA (922 nucleotides) under Felis catus (domestic cat). RNAcentral's name for it is "lncRNA (ENSFCAG00000049054.1)". Lineage: Eukaryota; Metazoa; Chordata; Mammalia; Carnivora; Felidae. The record is from RNAcentral.